RNAcentral lists this ribosomal RNA (479 nucleotides) under uncultured Azospira sp. Its description in RNAcentral is "bacterial SSU rRNA". It matches the Rfam family "Bacterial small subunit ribosomal RNA", at positions 894 to 1382 of the family's 1533-position model. The record is from RNAcentral. Lineage: Bacteria; Pseudomonadati; Pseudomonadota; Betaproteobacteria; Rhodocyclales; Rhodocyclaceae.
CAGAAACUACAAAGGAAGUGACCGGGGACCCGGCACAAGCGGUGGAUGAUGUGGAUUAAUUCGAUGCAACGCGAAAACCUUACCUACCCUUGACAUGCCAGGAACUUGCCAGAGAUGGCUUGGUGCCCGAAAGGGAGCCUGGACACAGGUGUUGCAUGGCUGUCGUCAGCUCGUGUCGUGAGAUGUUCGGUUAAGUCCGCUAACGAGCGCAACCCUCGCUGUAUGUUACAUGUGUCAUACAGGACCGCCGGUAUCAAGCCGGAGGAAGGUGGGGAUGACGUCAAGUCCGCAUGGCCUUUAUGUCCGGGGCUACACACACGCUACAAUGGUCGGUACAAUGGGUUGCUAAGCCGCGAGGUGGAGCCAAUCCCCCAAAGCCGGCCUCAGUUCAGAUUGCAGGCUGCAACUCGCCUGCAUGAAGCUGGAGUUGCUAGUAAACGCGCGUCAGCUAUAGUGCGUUGAAUACGUUCUCGGGCCUU